RNAcentral lists this long non-coding RNA (484 nucleotides) under Mytilus galloprovincialis (Mediterranean mussel). Lineage: Eukaryota; Metazoa; Mollusca; Bivalvia; Mytilida; Mytilidae. The record is from RNAcentral.
AACAAGAAUGUGUCCACAGUACACGGAUGCCCCACUCACACUAUCAUUUUCUAUGUUUAAAGGACUGUGAAAUUGAAAUAAAUUCUCUAAUUUGGCAUUAAAAUUAGAAUGAUCUUAUCAAAGGGAACAUGUAUACUAAGUUUCAAGUUGAUUGGACUUCUACUUUAUCAAAAACUACCUUGACCAAAAACUUUAACUGAAAUUUGCACUAUCAUUUUCUAUGUUCAGUGAACCGUAGAAUUGGGGUCAAAACUCUAAUUUGGCAUUUAAAUUAGAAAGAUCAUAUCAUAGGGCACAUGUAUACUAAGUUUCAAGUUGAUUGGACUUCAACUUCAUCAAAAACUACCUUGACCAAAAACUUUAACCUGAAGCCAAAAACUUUAACCUGAAAUUUGCACUAUCAUUUUCUAUGUUCAGUGAACCGUAAAAUUGGGGUCAAAACUCUAAUUUGGCAUUUAAAUUAGAAAGAUCAUAUCAUAGGGCA